Molecule: ribosomal RNA, 254 nt
Filed under: uncultured prokaryote
Description: partial 16S ribosomal RNA
Rfam family: Bacterial small subunit ribosomal RNA
Source: RNAcentral
UACGGAGGGUGCAAGCAUUGAUCGGAUUUACUGGGCGUAAAGGGCGCGUAGGCGGCCACCGCAAGUCGGUUGUGAAAUCUCUGGGCUUAACCCAGAAAGGUCAACCGAUACUGCGGGGCUAGAGUGCAGAAGGGGCAACUGGAAUUCUCGGUGUAGCGGUGAAAUGCGUAGAUAUUGGGAAGAACACCAGUGGCGAAAGCGGACUUCUGGGUUGUUACUGACGCUGAGGUACGAAAGCGUGGGGAUCAAACAGG